Molecule: transfer RNA, 66 nt
Filed under: Endromis versicolora
Lineage: Eukaryota; Metazoa; Arthropoda; Insecta; Lepidoptera; Endromidae
Description: tRNA-Arg
Source: RNAcentral
AAGUAAGAAGCAAUUUGCAUUUAAUUUCGACUUAAAAAUUAGGGAUAUAAAAUUUCCCCUUACUUA